UAAGUCAGCCACGAAUAGGCUAUCCCAACUAACGGCGGGAAAGACUCCACGGAGGGUGUAAGACCCGUGUGGGCGCGUGUUAAAGCUGUGUGGGCUCGGCCUCCAUUCCCUGAGAGUCGCGUUGCUUGAGCAUGCAGCGCUAAGCAGGUCGUAAACUCGAUCUAAGGCUAAAUAUUUCCACAGAACCGAUAGCGAACAAGUACCGUGAGGGAAAGUUGAAAAGCACUCUGGAGAGAGAGUCAAAAGACCGUGAAACCGCUCAGAGUAUAAGCCCAUGGCAGCUUGGAAGGCAUAUCGCUAGCGGGGCAUCGGUCUCCCUUCGCGGGGAGCUGGUGUUACCUUGCUUCUGUUGUGGCUCGUCAUGGUAGGGGGGUCAGGUCCACAUCCCGCCGUCGUGUGGGGGGUUCUUGGGUGUGUUGUGGUUUCUCGGUUGGCUUCGGCUUGCCGGGGGGCUCUUCGUGCUCUGUUCCCUUUUAGACACGGACGUUCAGACUCAGUUGCAAGACGCGAUAAACAGCCCACCACGGCACGUUGUGAGGUCACCCACAGGCUCGACUUUCGAUCGUGAACCUUGACGCCGAGCAAGCACAAUGCGUGUCGCAGAUGUUCCUAACCAGGCAACGUUGCCAGGAUCGUGGAACGACACGCGCUCAACAGUCAGGUUCGGGCGGAGACAGAGUUCUGGUACGAUCCUCUUGCGACGAGCCGGCUUCUGGCCGACGUCCGAUGCUCAGGUCUCCCGCAUGUGCCGCGGGAGAUCGCUUUGACGGUCUGGA
This 776-nucleotide ribosomal RNA is filed under the name Gammarus balcanicus. Its description in RNAcentral is "eukaryotic LSU rRNA". It matches the Rfam family "Eukaryotic large subunit ribosomal RNA", at positions 157 to 623 of the family's 3401-position model. The record is from RNAcentral. Lineage: Eukaryota; Metazoa; Arthropoda; Malacostraca; Amphipoda; Gammaridae. RNAcentral also lists the same sequence under 1 other name.